UCCUUAACCAACUGAGUGAGGCCAGGGAUCGAACCUGUGGGACAUGGAUACUAGUCAGAUUUGUUUCUGCUGAGCCACAACGGAAACCCUGGUUUUUCAUCUUUUGACUGCAGUUGACACAUGCCUCUAGGUGCUCAGGACUCAGAAGUCAUUCACAAGACCCUGAAAACUAUAGCAAGGUAGGCAGAUAGCCUUGUCCCACUAUGCUUAGGGCAGAAAGGUUGGCUAGUUGGCGGGGGGGGGGGGGGAAAGAAAAAUUGCCUUUCUGGUUUUGAGAGCCAAAGCACAAAAUCAAAGCUUUGUGGAUAUUAUCAAAUGCCCUUCUCUUGUGCUUCUAGCAGAGCCCAGGGUGGGUACUGGCUAAAUUCACAUGGAGAGUAAAAGCUUAGCCGCUGCUGAAGCUUUAGGAGCACUUAGCUUGUACUUCUCGUAAGACAGUGAACUCCAGAGAUUCAGCAUUCCCCACAAAUUGCUAAUUUGGUAGAGGGAUGACUUCAAAUCCAGGCCAGUUGGUGAUAGUAAACACACUGAAAUAGAAGCUGAGCAGCAGGUGCUGGUGUGUCUAAAGUUAAACUAGAAAAUUGAGAUUUAUUUGCACAGUCUUAGCUUGUUUACUGUUUCCUUUUGGAUUUAUGUAUAAAGUUUCAGGUGCUUGUGUUAGCAAUGAACAGAAACUCUUUAUGGUGGAUCUUCUUAGGUAGCAUUUUGAAGUAACCAUGGCUUAGUGAGAAGCCAACAAAUUUUUAGCUGAAUUGGCUUGACACUUGGAAUAACUGGAUUGCAAGGGACUGAUUUAUUUGGCAGAGGGCAGACAUAUUUCUCCCUGGAUUUUCUAGCUGGAUGCCAUACCUCUAGAGUUGUCUGACCAGACCUGUGUGCUCCUGGAAACAUUACAGAGAAACGGGGCCCUCUUAACACUGAGAUUCUACCUGGAAACCACUGUUACCUCUACAACUGCCAAGGAAAGGAAUGCCUUUACUGGACAGCAGGGUAAUUCUUACUUGGAGCUUCACCGAACUCAGGAUGCCAAAUUGAAACUUGGGUUGGCCACGUGAAUGAUUAGGCUUGUAAAGGUAAGUCACAUUUUUAUAAAUAAAACCAGGUAUUAAACUAA
This is a long non-coding RNA of Phacochoerus africanus (Common warthog), 1114 nucleotides long. RefSeq lists it as uncharacterized. The transcript is spliced from 2 exons. NCBI's taxonomy places the organism in Eukaryota, Metazoa, Chordata, Mammalia, Artiodactyla, Suidae. The record is from RefSeq and is a predicted model, not a curated record.